GGCUUCGAGCCCGUCGCGGCUGGGCCGGGCUGGUCUGGCAGGCGGGCCCAGCCGGGCAGGGCUGCUUUGCUAAUGGCGGCGGCUCUCUUUCCUUCCUUCCUCCUUUCCUCCGUCCCCCCGGUCGUGGGGAGCCCGGAGCAGGAGGCGGGCCCGCGGCCAGGUUCUGGGCCGGAGAAGGGGCGACGUUCGGGCACCCCCCGAAUGGACAAUCUUUCCUUCUGUCAACGGCAGGGGCAGGCCUAGUUUGACUCUGACAGUCCUCCCACUAAGGAAUUCCUGGUGACUGGAAGGGGGAGUGACUCAGGCCCUCAACCUCUAGCAGAGUGCCUUGGCUCCCUCCUGUCGUCCUGGGGAACCUCGGCCCCAGCCCUGCCUCCCCAGCCAGUCACAGCUCCUCCCUGGUCACCCUGAGGGAGCUCAGGGCCCGGCUGGUAGCUGGGCUGCUCUCCUUCUGUCCCCCACUCCCGUGGAGCCUGGCA
RNAcentral lists this long non-coding RNA (479 nucleotides) under Pan troglodytes (chimpanzee). RNAcentral describes it as "lincRNA". Lineage: Eukaryota; Metazoa; Chordata; Mammalia; Primates; Hominidae. The record is from RNAcentral.